Molecule: ribosomal RNA, 505 nt
Filed under: uncultured bacterium
Lineage: Bacteria
Description: partial 16S ribosomal RNA
Rfam family: Bacterial small subunit ribosomal RNA
Source: RNAcentral
GACGAACGCUGGCGGCGUGCCUAAUACAUGCAAAUAGAACGCACAGUUUAUACCGUAGCUUGCUACACCAUAGACUGUGAGUUGCGAACGGGUGAGUAACGCGUAGGUAACCUGCCUGGUAGCGGGGGAUAACUAUUGGAAACGAUAGCUAAUACCGCAUAAUAUUGAUUAUUGCAUGAUAAUUGAUUGAAAGAUGCUAUUGCAUCACUACCAGAUGGACCUGCGUUGUAUUAGCUAGUAGGUGAGGUAACGGCUCACCUAGGCGACGAUACAUAGCCGACCUGAGAGGGUGAUCGGCCACACUGGGACUGAGACACGGCCCAGACUCCUACGGGAGGCAGCAGUAGGGAAUCUUCGGCAAUGGACGAAAGUCUGACCGAGUAACGCCGCGUGAGUGAAGAAGGUUUUCGGAUCGUAAAGCUCUGUUGUAAGAGAAGAACGGGUGUGAGAGUGGAAAGUUCACACUGUGACGGUAUCUUACCAGAAAGGGACGGCUAACUACGUG